This 739-nucleotide long non-coding RNA is filed under the name Coturnix japonica (Japanese quail). RNAcentral's name for it is "lncRNA (ENSCJPG00005005402.1)". The record is from RNAcentral. Lineage: Eukaryota; Metazoa; Chordata; Aves; Galliformes; Phasianidae.
GGGGGAUGCUGGGCACUCCUGGCUCAGGCAUAGCUCAAGAGCAUCCUUUGGCUGUUCGAGCUCAGUGGAUCAGGCUGUGCUGCACACAGGCUGAUGAGCUGCUAAUGGCAAAGUAUACCCAGCUGGGCUGAGUGCUGCCAGGGCAAGGUGACUGCUGCUGAAGCAAAAUGCUUCAUGGAAAUUGUUGUCAUUUUGCAGCAAGGAGGGCUGUGUGUGUCACCUACUGGCAAGGAAGAGGAAGGGUGACUGGAAGGUAAAGGUCUGUCUCUCCCUGGAUGGUGCAGCACUCCCAGUGCACACAGGUGGAAAUCGAUAUCAUCUCAGAAGGACAGUCCACAGCAUUGUUGAGACUGUUGAAGGAGAUGUUCCAGCUGCCACCAGGCCAUGGAGAUGUGCUUCUGUCCAGACAGGGGGCUGCAUCCACUCGAGGACUGCAAAUAGGUUACAUCCAACCCAGAGAACCUGUCGCAUUGAGAGAUGUGUUGUGUGAAGCAAACUUCCAGUGGUGCAGUGUGAUAUGAGAGGUGGGAUGCAGACUGGACAUGGCUGGGGGCUGUGGAGGAGCAAACUGGGACCAGAAGCCAAUGUAGUGGUGACUUGUCACGGUGAGUUUGUGCAGAUGGCUUUACUGCUGGCUGACUCAUUCCUGGGGAUGAAUGAGAAAUGAAGAGAGGAAACAAAAUCAAAACACUGCCAUGUGCAGCAAGAUUUAUGAUGGGACAUGCAGUAUGCCUAGUUC